UCUUCCUGAAGCCCAGCAGGUGUGUCCUCUCCACUAGCCAACCUCCGACCUGGAAACGAUAACUGUUCCAAAUAAUAGCAAUAACAGUGCUACUAUGUGCCAGGUACUCGGAGCGCUCACAUAUUUAAUUGCCCAACUGUCUUGGGUGCUGGGCAUUAUUGAUAUUGUUCUUCUGCAGGCGAAGGAAACUGAGGCACAGAGGUUAAAUAUCUUGCAUAAAGUUACCCAAGGAAUAAAUGCAGUCCUGGGAUUUGAAUCCUAAGGCACAAAAUACUAGCCUGUUCCUGUUCAGCCUCUAGUAAUAACAAUGCUGUAUUUGAUCUAUUUUAAAAUACGCCUUUUUUUCCCCCUCAUAUCUGAAAUAAGUAUGUGAUUUCAGUUCCAGCUGAUGAAGGUCACAGUUUAACUGGCAACAAUUUUUCCACCCCUGGGGAGUGAAUCCAGGACCCUGAGGAACAGAAAGCACCUGAUCUACCACUGAGCCCAAUUGGCAACACUUUGAGUUUCUUGGUAUAUACAUGUAUCAAUUUCAAUGACGAAGGUUUACACAGACUCUGAACCUCAAAUUUAUGAAUUCAUGACAUCUCACAGCAACUCUGUAAAGUAGGACAGAAGUUAAUCCCUGUAGUGAGAACAGAGAUCAAGUCACUCCCCCUCUCCCUAAAACUGUCUUGGGUAAUAAAAGUGCAGUCGGGAUUUGAACCCAGGCAGUCUGCUUCCUGUAUCUUACAGUCUUCUAGGGAAUGAAUAGUAAGUCUUGCAAGCCCAUCUCUGAUGUGUGCUGAUAUUAUCAAGCAUAUUAACUAGACUCUGCCUGAGCUGAUUUGGAUGGAUGAGGGAGGAAAGAGCAGAGGCAGAUUUAAUGAGUGACCUUUACCCACUUCUGGGGGUAGCCCUGCACACAGGAGACCAGGCUGGACAGAUGGCCCCUGCUGGUUACUAACCUUGUGAAGCAUUGGGUAAAGCACAGGGUGGGGGGGACUGCAUCAUCUCAAUCAACCCAGCUGCUCUGAGGCAGAGUCGGUUUUAUUAUCAUCAUUUUGCAGAAGAAGAAACUGAGGAUGGGCAUUUAAUAUACACAUUGCUGUAGAGUUUUGGAUGGCGGCUAUGAGUAAAGGAGGCUGAGUGUGCAGAAGUGAAGGAAAGAUUACACAGGAACAGAGCGAUACAGCCUGUCCUUUCUCCCCAGAAGUUUCCAGGCAAGUUGGGAGGACCAGCAAGCACCUUCUGGAAGAAGGCAAAUGACUCAACCAGGAAGAGAAUGAGACCAAAGGGAGGCUGGACCACAGAGCCUCCCACUCCUGUCUGAGUUCAUCUGCGGUUUCAGCUUGAAGCCACAGCACCAAUUGUCGAAAGUGAUUUGAAAUGUAGUGUUUUUUAAGUUCUCCAAGUUUGCUUGUUUGUUCGUAACCCUUACACAUUAAGCCUGCAUAUUAUUAGGGAGCAGAAAGUAUCUGUUCAUCCCUACCUCCUCUCUUCUGAGCCUUUAUGAAAGGAAUCAGAAAGGGUUUACUGAACUUUUACACCUUAUCAGCACUCUUCAAAAGGUACACAACAGAAUUGACAGCCAGCCUUUGCCUGGACAUAAUCCACAUGGGGGUGGGAACAGGUAGGGAGCCCAAGAGACAAUAAUUGGGAAAUAGUAUCAGGAGGCAUAGAGCUUGGGUACUGGACAGAUGCGGAGGGCUGAGGGGUUCUCCAAUAGUUCCCUGGGGAGCUGGUUUCCAGCCUGGGGAUAAGGAGUCUCACUGGAAAGAAGGCACUGGAAAGAGACUCACAAGUCUAAGAAAAGGCCCCCAUGUCCAGUCCAGUCUCUGGGAUGCCUCCCAUCUUCAGCACCUCCCCAGAUUGUCCAGUUCGGUCAGUUCCAUGAAGCUAACAGGAGGGAGCUCUAUGUGCAUGCCUAAAACUAAAAGAAAGGCAAAGGUAAUGAAGCCAUUCAAAUAAGGGUAAUUUAAGCUGGUGUGGUGGCACACCCUGUAGUCCCAGCUCCUCAGAAGGCUGAGGCAGAAGGAUGGCAAGGGAAUGGCCAGCCUGGGCAACAUGA
RNAcentral lists this long non-coding RNA (2047 nucleotides) under Marmota monax (woodchuck). Lineage: Eukaryota; Metazoa; Chordata; Mammalia; Rodentia; Sciuridae. The record is from RNAcentral.